This 102-nucleotide signal recognition particle RNA is filed under the name Vicinamibacterales bacterium. RNAcentral's name for it is "signal recognition particle sRNA small type". It matches the Rfam family "Bacterial small signal recognition particle RNA". Rfam says of the family: The signal recognition particle (SRP) is a universally conserved ribonucleoprotein involved in the co-translational targeting of proteins to membranes. The record is from RNAcentral. Lineage: Bacteria; Pseudomonadati; Acidobacteriota; Vicinamibacteria; Vicinamibacterales.
GGCCCGGACCCUGUGCAAUCCCAGACUGUGAACCGUGUCAGGGCCGGAAGGCAGCAGCACUCAGCAGACCCUGUGAUGUGCCGCAGGACAACCCGGGCCGCA